This 460-nucleotide ribosomal RNA is filed under the name Veillonella atypica. RNAcentral's name for it is "bacterial SSU rRNA". It matches the Rfam family "Bacterial small subunit ribosomal RNA", at positions 38 to 472 of the family's 1533-position model. Lineage: Bacteria; Bacillati; Bacillota; Negativicutes; Veillonellales; Veillonellaceae. The record is from RNAcentral.
GGCGGCGUGCUUAACACAUGCAAGUCGAACGAAGAGAGAUGGAAGCUUGCUUCUGUCAAUCUUAGUGGCGAACGGGUGAGUAACGCGUAAUCAACCUGCCCUUCAGAGGGGGACAACAGUUGGAAACGACUGCUAAUACCGCAUACGAUCCAAUCUGGCAUCGAGAGUGGAUGAAAGGUGGCCUCUAUUUAUAAGCUAUCACUGAAGGAGGGGAUUGCGUCUGAUUAGCUAGUUGGAGGGGUAACGGCCCACCAAGGCGAUGAUCAGUAGCCGGUCUGAGAGGAUGAACGGCCACAUUGGGACUGAGACACGGCCCAGACUCCUACGGGAGGCAGCAGUGGGGAAUCUUCCGCAAUGGACGAAAGUCUGACGGAGCAACGCCGCGUGAGUGAUGACGGCCUUCGGGUUGUAAAGCUCUGUUAAUCGGGACGAAUGGUUCUUGUGCAAAUAGUGCAAAGGA